UGUCUAGAGUUAUUUAUCUUGA
RNAcentral lists this non-coding RNA (22 nucleotides) under Arabidopsis thaliana (thale cress). The record is from RNAcentral. Lineage: Eukaryota; Viridiplantae; Streptophyta; Magnoliopsida; Brassicales; Brassicaceae.